UUCUAACAAAAUUACUUUGAAAAGUGCACAUCACCAAAUAAUCUCUUAGAUUCACAAGUGCACAACCACAUUUUUUUAGAUAAUAGGCUAUUGCCCGACCAUAGAUUGAUGCUCUCAGUCUCAAGUUCAAGAUUUGAGUACAUACCAAUAACAGUUGAACCUAUAGUAAAGAAAAGAGGUACCAUCAUGCCAAAACAACAGCCACAGAACAGCAAGGGAGACACAGGUUCAAAACUAGCCGGCUUACUGACGGAGCAAGAAACUUAUUACAUCGCAUCUCAUGCGGGACAAGGCGACACAGCACCCAGAGACUAAAGACCAGACACCACACAGACAGGAGCAAUAACACAACACCAUUUCCCAGUCUUGGUUUCUCACAAAAUGGCAUCUCACAACAUCAAGUAGUCACGGGCACAAGCAUGCAUCACCUUCCAUUCUUCACCUCAACGUACUAGGCAUCAUCUUCUAGGCUUCGGUUAUGAUGGAAUCAGACUCAUCCUUGAAGUGAAUAUAACAAAAGCACAACUAUUAAAAUCAUGGAAAUAUACAGAACAAACAUUGCAAGUUUGAAACAUUUAGAAGUCGAAUUUCAUGAGUGGAAUAUGUUACCAUAGUUUCUUCCUCAUCAUCAAGGACACUUUGAAAUACAACAAAGAGAGUGGAGUUGCUAUCCCCUAAUGCAAAUAUUUAGAGAAACAUGCAAAAAAACAGAGCCUUCAGAUUCAGUUAAAGUGAGAAAAGGUACAUAUUUGGAAAAAAAAAUACUGUACAUAUUUGGAAAUACUGUGAUCUCUCAGUUGUAGUGAAUGGUAACAACCAACCUAAAUUGUUUUUUCUAUCUUUGUUCUUUUAGGGAAUAAGGUAGACCUGCCAAGAUUACAUGUCAGAUUUUUUUUCAAAACGGAAUUACAUGUCAGAUUGAAAUUCACUGAUGUGGCAAUAAAUAAUUUACUAAUUAACAUGCCUAUCUACAGACUACAGAUCAUGCCAUGUGCCAAAUACGAACUGUGAACAAAUUAGUAACUAGUGACAAUUGCUACUGAUGUACAAGAGUAGUUCGUAGAAAUUGGUACUGGAAACUGAAACUGAAGUACAAGAGUAGUCUGCUCCAAUUGCUACUGUAAACGGAAGUACAAGAGUACUUUGGAAAAAUCCACGAACAAGACAAGAUGCACACCCACGUACAGAUACACUAGACAUACAAGAGAGGGAUUGAUAGAACAAAAGGUUAUUACCCUGAGCGUCGACUGUUUGGUGUGGCCAUCACCUCCUCGGCACGGUCAGGCUCCUCGUCGUGGUCCGCGGCUGCCUCCUGGGACACCCGUGCCGUCAUGCUCCUGGUCAUGUGCGCAGCAGCGCUAUUGCACGUCGCGCCGCUCCACAUCGCAGC
Molecule: long non-coding RNA, 1390 nt
Filed under: Triticum aestivum (bread wheat)
Lineage: Eukaryota; Viridiplantae; Streptophyta; Magnoliopsida; Poales; Poaceae
Description: long non-coding RNA (TAES_LNC007585)
Source: RNAcentral